This 72-nucleotide transfer RNA is filed under the name Camelus ferus (Wild Bactrian camel). It matches the Rfam family "tRNA". Rfam says of the family: Transfer RNA (tRNA) molecules are approximately 80 nucleotides in length. Their secondary structure includes four short double-helical elements and three loops (D, anti-codon, and T loops). Lineage: Eukaryota; Metazoa; Chordata; Mammalia; Artiodactyla; Camelidae. The record is from Rfam by way of RNAcentral.
GAGGGUAUAGCUCAGUGGUAGAGUGUGUGCUUAGCAUGCUCGAGGUCCUGGGUUCAAUCCCCAGUACUUCUG